Molecule: ribosomal RNA, 160 nt
Filed under: Pimpinella trifurcata
Lineage: Eukaryota; Viridiplantae; Streptophyta; Magnoliopsida; Apiales; Apiaceae
Description: 5.8S ribosomal RNA
Rfam family: 5.8S ribosomal RNA
About the family: 5.8S ribosomal RNA (5.8S rRNA) is a component of the large subunit of the eukaryotic ribosome. It is transcribed by RNA polymerase I as part of the 45S precursor that also contains 18S and 28S rRNA.
Source: RNAcentral
CGACUCUCGACAACGGAUAUCCCGGCUCUUGCAUCGAUGAAGAACGUAGCGAAAUGCGAUACUUGGUGUGAAUUGCAGAAUCCCGUGAACCAUCGAGUCUUUGAACGCAAGUUGCGCCCGAAGCCAUCAGGCCGAGGGCACGUCUGCUUGGGUGUCACGC